Molecule: long non-coding RNA, 236 nt
Organism: Oncorhynchus keta (chum salmon)
Lineage: Eukaryota; Metazoa; Chordata; Actinopteri; Salmoniformes; Salmonidae
Exons: 3
Source: RefSeq, a predicted model, not a curated record
GAAGCGUGUUGAUGGGUGGACUGUAGAUAAUAGAUUUAUACCCUGAAGCGUGUUGAUGGGUGGACUGUGGAUAAUAGAUUUAUACCCUGAAGCGUGUUGAUAGGUGGACUGUAGAUAAUAGAUUUAUACCCUGAAGCGUGUUGAUGGGUGGACUGUGGAUAAUAGAUUUAUACCCUGAAGCGUGUUGAUAGGUGGACUGUAGAUAAUAGAUUUAUACCCUGAAGCGUGUUGAUAGG